RNAcentral lists this non-coding RNA (20 nucleotides) under Arabidopsis thaliana (thale cress). Lineage: Eukaryota; Viridiplantae; Streptophyta; Magnoliopsida; Brassicales; Brassicaceae. The record is from RNAcentral.
UUAUUUCUAGUGCUUAUUUA